Molecule: ribosomal RNA, 252 nt
Filed under: uncultured bacterium
Lineage: Bacteria
Description: partial 16S ribosomal RNA
Rfam family: Bacterial small subunit ribosomal RNA
Source: RNAcentral
UACGUAGGGGGCAAGCGUUGUCCGGAAUCAUUGGGCGUAAAGAGCGCGUAGGCGGCCCAGUAAGUCCGCUCUGAAAGUCAGGGGCUCAACCCCUGAAUGCGGGUGGAUACUGCUGGGCUAGAGUCCGGAAGAGGCGAGUGGAAUUCCUGGUGUAGCGGUGAAAUGCGCAGAUAUCAGGAGGAACACCAAUGGCGAAGGCAGCUCGCUGGACGGUACUGACGCUGAGGCGCGAAAGCCAGGGGAGCAAACGGG